GCGUCAACUUAGUAUCGCUACAUUGUUCAUUAAUUAUAUUUUUGUAUUAUACUUAUUUUAUGUUAUAAAUCUUUUAUUUUUUUUUUAUAAUUUUGUUCAAAGUUGAGAUGUUUUAACUCUUCAAUAUUUUUGAAAUGACUUGUGAUUUGGGAUGGAUGGAGUAACUCUUUUUAUGAUCCAUGUACUACUCAUUUUCGGACCACCGGUAGUAGUCAUCACGUUUUCUCAUUUCCCCUUUUUUUUUCCCCAAAAAAGCAAUGGCGUGUGCCAGGCGUAGUAUAUCUAUCGAAAAAGAAGGGCACGUUUUCUCAUUUUCUAAUCAGGUUUGGUAGUUAUAGGUUUGUUUUUUCAAGUGGAUGCGAAUUUUUUAAUGUUUAGCUGCUACUCCAGGCAAUUUUAAGCCAUCGUCUAAUGACAGGAAUAUUUUAUUUAGAGGAACUCUAAGAGACUCUCUAGAUCUUUUCUAAAUGCUAGGAAUAGAGAUUUUGAUGAAAAGGUUACCCUCCAACAAUUUGUCUAAAUGGUUAUGUAAAUAUAGCUAUCUUUUAUUCUGAAUUUUUCGCUAGUCAAAAAUAGAAGACGAGAAUUACUCUCUAGAGUGUGCACGAGAGAUAGAAAAACUGUUGCAGAGUGAAAAAAUAUAGAAGCGAUUUUUAUGGAAAUGAUUCUCUAAAUGAUGAUUUAGAGAGUGAGAUUUGCAAAAAAAUUUGGAAAUGCUCUUAGCCAUCUAAUCAACAUUCGAUAUAUAGCCCUCAAAUGGUACAACAAUAUUAAGCUAUGUAUAGUUGUAGUUUUAGGUGAUUUAAUUUAAUAAACAUAAAAACAAUUGAAAAGUGCCAAAGUUGUUAAUUUUAACUUAUUUAGUACUUUUGAGUCAGCAGGUCUUCUUUUAGAAUUUAGAAUGAAGGCGUGCUGCACAACCACCAGGCCGCUACCCUGAGCAUAAAAUAAUAUAGUUAGUCUCAAUAUCAACUCUAAAGCUGUUAAUCAGUCAAAAAAGAUAAGUGUUUCCAUUCUUUUUAUUUUGUAUGAUGAAAUUGGCAACAGAUCCUUUUAGCUGCUAAUUGAGAGUAUUCGAAAUUUUCCUUUUCUGCUAUUAAAGUUGAAUUGGUGUGUUUGAUAAAUCAUGCAUCCCUAUGCAUCAAUACAUUUUUUGUUUAGAAAGUUUUUUAGUGCAAUGUAGAACAAAGGAACAACCAAGUAGGUGCUAUGCAGCUUUUCAAUAAGAAAAAAAAUAAUCUAAAUUCAAGUCGAGGAGAACUCGUACUUGAUUGGUUGAGUGUCUAACUGCACCUCCUACUCAAUCGAUAGAGCUAAACACACUUUCUGUAUAAUCUAACACCCUUAUGCAACCAAUAGCCUAUUUGGAAUGUGUAAAACUUUCUUCAUUUCAAUGUUUUUCCUAUGAAAUUCCUGCAUAAUUUUUAUGAAAUUUCUGCAUUCCAAAUGCCCGUGAUACUAGUAUUUGAAAGUUGUUAUGACGAGGAGGAAGAAAACAUGCCCGUGGUACUACUCUUUAUGGAAGUUGUCAUGAUGAGAAGGAAGCUAUAGAGCUAGGUCUAUCCAUGUCUGGGCCAAGUCACUCCUUGUCUUGGGAGGAGCAUGUCCUACUCCAUAAAAAACAAAGACUAAAAAGAGAGUACCAUCAACUCCCAAGACCCAAACCAAGCCGGUAAGCCAAUUUUCACUUUAGCUAACUAUCCAUUUCAGGCAGACAGAGAGUUGAGACCACGAGGCACAUAUUAUCAUAAUAGUAGGAGUACCUUCGUGCAAAACUUUGGUGCAAAUAUUUACCUACGGUAUGAAGAUAUAUAUGCUCCCCAUAAAAAAAGAGAGAUGUUUUACAUGAAUAUAUGAAAGAGGCUUUAUUUUAAAAUGAAAUAUUGCUCAAACAUUAAAAAAGAAGAGGGUACAAUUAGAACACUAUGUACUACAGUAUGCUUUUCGAUCAGCUUGGGUGUUAGUAGAGUGUCGGAGAAGUUCUGGCAUACUGGUGCGGUCAUAAAUGUUGUUUUGCGAUUGCACUUUGCUCCCCUUUGAACUUUCUUUGCCAGGGCGUCUUCGAUCACUGGCAGCUCAAUCUGACUAGGCGUCUAGCUAGGCCUCUGAAGAUGACAACGAUCGAGCUAGCACGGAAACAAGUCUAAUAAUGAAUAGUACGGGCGUGACUUUGUGCUCCAGCGUUAUACUAGUAGCUUAAUUAGUUGUUCUAGAUCGAGAGCACGGCGCGCUUAUACGUGGACAUGGAUGCCAAUCUUCCGGGAGCGGCGAGCGUUUGGAUAAGGUCUUUUGCACACAAAGGCACACAAAGAGUGAAAAGCACACACCGAUACACACACACUCUACACAUAAAACAUAGGCAAGCAAACUCUUACAAAUUUCAGCGGUUGGAUCACAAAGACAUCGACCGAUCAUUGAUCCAAAAGGCCAAAACGUUUGUUCACCUCAGUACUCGGGGAGCUGGCGAUCGGCAGAUGGAGAGGGGCAGACAAAGCCAAAAGGCCGAAAGGCGUUGCGUAAAGCGGGAACAGGUGAGGCAUCCAUGUGGGCGGCACGGUACAAAGCGGACAGGGCGGCCCCCGGCGCGGUGGCGCACCUUGGCGGUUGCGGCGGCAAUGAUCCCCGGCUCCGGGCGUGCGCGGCUGGCUGGGGUUGGGGCUGGCACGGGUAGAGGGGCACUGGUCCCAGUGCUGUAUGCCGGCCAAACGUGCGUGCAACCGCCUAUCAUGCUUGCAUUGCCCUCGUCCAGACUAGUUGUCAGAUCAUUUUGACCUGGUCAUCCGGUCCAGUCUCGUCAGCGCACUAGUCCAACUGGUCAACAAAUUCGAUCAGUCAGACCCAUACAGUCCUGCAGUCUUGCAUGACACCGAGCACGAGUACUGUUAACUGCAAUGCCUCCCAACGAAGCGGUACUCUACUGUACUGUACAUUACUCUACUCCCAUCCUAUGCCAAUACAACAGAAAUUCUUAAUAAGCUGGGUUCUUGAUAAGAUCCUUCAGAAUAAGCGACAGUGGUUGGGCUGGCCGGUUGGGCGGGAGUUAAAGAAGCAGGGGGCACACGUGUAGCAGGGGACAUGUUGCCCGGCCGUGCCCGCGCUCAUGCCAUGCCAUGCCACGCCGGUGGGUUAAUGCAGAUGCAGGAGACGGGGGCGAUGACGGGGGGGCCAGCCUGGUGGCUGGUGCGCGUCUUGUCGUAGCCCGGCAGCCCCCCUCGACGUGGCUCGCUCCGCGGCCCCGGCCGGCCCAUCACUCCGUCGCCACAUCCCACGCGCGCUGGCCGUCGUCAGCCGAAGGAGAAAAAAAAAAAAGGCAUCGCAUGCGCGCGAGCGCGCUCCCGCUGGCCGCUGCGCCUCCAACUCCCGGCCGCGACCGCGGCAGCCGGCAGAGCAGGGAUCGGAUAGGAAUGCGCCCAUGCCUCCUAUUCCUAUGCGCCAUCGAUGGAUGGCCCGGCCUGGCUACCAAAGGCAUAUUUACAAUACCAGAUGAGAUGAAGAUGAGUAACAGUGUGACACACUAAACACAGGGAGGCAGGAAGUCAGAGCGGCCAUUGAAUCCCUUGUCUGGUAACGUUUGGUGCCAUCCACUCUCCGACCCCGGGCCCCGCGUUUGAUUCCCAGACCCAGCAAGUACGCGCCAAAAAGGGUUUCCUUCAUUCGCGUCAGUGUGAUCGAUCGAGCCAUCUAGUUGGACUGAUAAAUAAAUGGCGGGGAAUUCUGGUUGCGUUGCGUUGCCACCCCCUCGCUCAUUACUCCCGCCGGCCCAGCCCCCGUCGAAUCACCAGGCGGGAGACAUGCCACUGUGCGCGGACCAUGACGCGGCGACGUGGCUCAAGGCUUUCUGAUCGAGCUGCUGCCUUUGCCUCCGCGCGCGCACGGUGGCGCGCGGCAUCAUUGGUGAUGCGCUGCAUCUUGCACUGCGCCCGUGCAUGGGAGUGGGACAGCGACGAGGCCGCGGACAUUCCCAGCUACCGGCGGGGCCGCGCCCUCCAUCCUGGUCGCUAUCCUACCGCACGCCCGCAGGUGCGAUGCCGGCGCUGUGUCUUUGAGACCGUGGCAACUGUGAGCGAUUCAACCCUCCGCACGCGCUCCAUCCAAUCCAACUGUCGAGAUCGGAGAUCGAUCGGACACUGUUUCCUUUCCUUGAGGCGCGCAUGUGCACGACGGCCAACAGUGGCCGUGCCUGUUGUUUUGCGAUAAACAUCUAGUGGCCCUUUCUCCCCAGCAGAAAUGGCGGGAGACCUUGCCCCCCCUUUUUUUUUUUCUUCAUCUGAUCUGAUGAUGAGAGCCCAGCUGGGACUCGUAUUAUCAUCAAGCCCAAUCGUUAUUAACUAGGAGGUCUGUGUCUCUAUGUGUCCUAACUUUAGGCCCAAGUUUGGAUGGAUGUUCUCCUGCUGGGCCUAGGGGUGUCUGUCACUUUCUACCCUGCUAUCUAUAUUUAGCAAAUGAUGAGAUGAGACCAUGCUGAUUGUCAGUUUGUAUAUGUGACGUGUGCUCUCCCGCUGCCGUCGGGCGUAAUCUCCCAGAUGAUUGGCGUCGUAGGGCCGCUCUUUGGUCCGGUGACAAUAAUGUCUUGUCACCCCUUCAGUCCUUCACAAUCAUAGUGUUUGAUGGCCUAGCAACGGGUUCUAAGGACAUGGCAUCCGGCAUUUGGUAAUACAGAACUUAUGUUUGCUGCUUAAGCUCAUCCACUGGCUUCACUGCAGCCGAGGGCUUGGCAUAGGGCCAGUGGGCUUUUUUGGCGACAAUGGAGGGUGAUCCCGAUUCACAGCCAAUGGGAGGUCCGGUAUUCCUUGCUGGACACCUGUAAGGCUGUAACAGGCCAUUACCAAGUUUCCCUAUCCUCUUCAGUCACUGCAGACUGCAGGCAGCGCAAGAGCACCGUGCGCUAGGUGAUGGGAGUCCGGGCUCUCUAGCACAGGCACAAUCGUGCCGCUCCUGUCACCGGUGGGGUGCAAAAAAUCGUCACCGAGACCUCAUUGUCUGAAGAAGCAGAUUGCAGGCUAAUAAGGCCUUGUUUAGUUCACUCCAAAAAUCAAAAAGUUUUCAAGAUUCUCUAUCACAUCGAAUCUUACGGCACAUAUGCAUGAAUUAUUAAUUUUAGACAAAAUCAAAAACUAAUUACACAGUUUACCUGUAAAUCACGAGAUGAAUCUUUUGAUACUAAUUAGUCUAUAAUUAGAUAAUAUUUGCCACAAACAAACGAAAGUACUACAGUAGCGAAAUCUAAAAAGAUUUCGCAUCUAAACAAGGCCUAAAUCCUUUCAGUAUGUAUGACACUGCAGGUCUUUACAAACUCCUCAAGGCAAAGGACGGCGCCCCACAUUCAGAGACCACGUUUAUUUGGAAGAACGCGGCGCCGCCCAGAGUUCAACUUUUCAUUUGGUUUUUGACGCAAUGGAGAAUUCAGGGUCAGAUUAAUUUGCAUCGGAAGAAAACCAUGGAUUCCGACUUGUGAAGUCUGUGGCUUGGCAGAAGAAAGUGCUGCACACAUUAUCAGUGAGGUGGCCUUGUUCAGUUUGGUGGGGAAAAUCCCCCCUCAAUCCCCUUGUUCAUAACAUGCAAGGGACUGAAAUAAGACAACUUUUUUAGCUCAUUUACGAUGAUCCUAGAGCCUGUUUGCCCCUUUGCUAAACUUUAGCUAGCUAAAAUUAUUUUAACUAUUCUUAGGUGAUUAAUGGGACUAAACUAAAAUAGUUAAAGUUUAGCUAUUUAGUAAGGGGAACCAAACAGGACCCUAAUAUUCGUAAUAACAAGCAGAUAAAAAAAUGGAGCAGGGGGAUUCUGACCUCUGAAGUUAGCAUGAUCAUCUAUGCUUAACGCUUUAAAAUCGGUUUCAGGGUGCAAUGGCCACUUAGAGUUGG
This 5861-nucleotide long non-coding RNA is filed under the name Sorghum bicolor (sorghum). RNAcentral describes it as "long non-coding RNA (SBIC_LNC005718)". The record is from RNAcentral. Lineage: Eukaryota; Viridiplantae; Streptophyta; Magnoliopsida; Poales; Poaceae.